This 71-nucleotide transfer RNA is filed under the name Arachidicoccus ginsenosidimutans. Its description in RNAcentral is "Arachidicoccus sp. BS20 tRNA". It matches the Rfam family "tRNA". From Rfam's summary of the family: Transfer RNA (tRNA) molecules are approximately 80 nucleotides in length. Their secondary structure includes four short double-helical elements and three loops (D, anti-codon, and T loops). Lineage: Bacteria; Pseudomonadati; Bacteroidota; Chitinophagia; Chitinophagales; Chitinophagaceae. RNAcentral also lists the same sequence under 2 other names. The record is from Rfam by way of RNAcentral.
UGCCCGAUAGUAUAAUGGUAGUACUACAGAUUCUGGCUCUGUUAGUUCAGGUUCGAGUCCUGAUCGGGUAA